CCCGCACAAGCGGUGGAGCAUGUGGUUUAAUUCGAUGCAACGCGAAGAACCUUACCUGGGCUUGACAUCCCUGGAAUCCCCUGGAAACAGGGGAGUGCCCUUCGGGAGCCAGGAGACAGGUGCUGCAUGGCUGUCGUCAGCUCGUGUCGUGAGAUGUUGGGUUAAGUCCCGCAACGAGCGCAACCCUUGUCUUUAGUUGCCAUCAUUAAGUUGGGCACUCUAAAGAGACUGCCGGUGUCAAACCGGAGGAAGUGGGGAUGACGUCAAGUCCUCAUGGCCUUUAUGACCAGGGCUACACACGUACUACAAUGGCAGGUACAAAGGGCAGCCACUUAGCGAUAAGGCGCGAAUCCCAUAAAACCUGUCUCAGUCCGGAUUGGAGUCUGCAACUCGACUCCAUGAAGUUGGAAUCGCUAGUAAUCGCAGAUCAGCACGCUGCGGUGAAUACGUUCCCGGGCCUU
RNAcentral lists this ribosomal RNA (461 nucleotides) under uncultured Desulfocapsa sp. RNAcentral describes it as "bacterial SSU rRNA". It matches the Rfam family "Bacterial small subunit ribosomal RNA", at positions 920 to 1382 of the family's 1533-position model. Lineage: Bacteria; Pseudomonadati; Thermodesulfobacteriota; Desulfobulbia; Desulfobulbales; Desulfocapsaceae. The record is from RNAcentral.